Oreochromis niloticus (Nile tilapia) is the source of this 6808-nucleotide long non-coding RNA. RefSeq lists it as uncharacterized. The transcript is spliced from 2 exons. The record is from RefSeq and is a predicted model, not a curated record. Lineage: Eukaryota; Metazoa; Chordata; Actinopteri; Cichliformes; Cichlidae.
GACUUUGAACUUUAACUGUUCAGGACCUGCAGACAUUUAGAGGAUUAUGUAUAAAAAAGUCUGUAAUUCCUAAACAUUUAAAGCUGAAAUUCUGCACUGCACAUCUUAAUUAAUCAAACCAAAUUACUUAUGGACCUGUGUACAUGUGCACACACAGUCUGAUGGAUGAGUGAAGUUGAACUCAUACCAAAGCGGCACUACCUCGUGCUGAGCAUGAUCCAGGAUAAGUUAUUUGUCUCCAUAAAUUUGUGUCUGUUCUGGAAAAACAGAAUCUACAGAAGAACGUGUAGAAUUCAUGGCAUUGCAGUGCAGUUCUCAUCUAUGAACACAGAGGGGCAGUGAUGUCAUUUUUUUUCAUCAGUGGCUGAUCUGUUCAGAGCAAGAGCCCCCAAAAAUGAGAUUUGCUGCUAAGAUUUCUUCCCUAAUACACAAAUAAAGGUCAAAGCAGAGAAACGGGAAUAAAGGGAAAAGGACAAAUACUCAGGCUGCACAGGCGGCUGCUGAACACAUCAGCUGGGAGCUCUGUGGGAAAACAAUGGGAGUACGUUAAGCGCAAGUUUGUGCUUUCCUUUUUCUUUUCCUCAAGAAUCCCACCAGGUUAUCAUGUGUUGAGUGUAGGAAAGCAUGGUUUUCUUAAAUUCCUGAUUGCUCUAAAUCUAAAAACCCAUAUUCACUAAUAAUUUCUACAUCUGUGCAGGGAGUAUGAACGUGGCAGAGCCCAGUGUCUGUCAGGAGUUUGAUGGCAGAUGUGCUUCCAGUUCCUGUGAAUUGCAAACAGGAGGCUCCUCUAAGCCUGAAGCGUCCUCGCUUCAGGCUGUUGGAGGUGUGUGUUUGUCAGCUAAACGCAGUUUUCUGCUGAGAAACACGCAGACAGGCCUUCCUGUGAUGCCUGAAUAAAUGAGGACGAAAGCUGAUUAAUCCUCUGAAGCUCUUUUGUCUCUCGAUCUGAUAGUUUGACCUUGUUGAGGUCAGAACGGCCCGACGUCUUCAAGCUCGUCACAUCUCUGAAUGCACAACGCGUUGAUCCUUGAAGCUGACAGACUACAGCAGCACACCAGGUGUCACUGUUAGCUAACAGGAAACUGAGGCUACAACUCACACAGACUCAUUUGUGAUUAAGUAGGACUCAGGAUGCUAGAGGGCGGUUUAAGAGCCUUUUUGAGUUUUCAGGUGGAGUUGUGGGCUCCUCAGUUCUGCCUCUGGGUGGAGCCCUCCUGCUCAGGUUGCCCUUCUCAUACCUGCUCUGAAAACCCUCAUGAACCCUUUCACCACAAUGGUUUUGUGUCCCAUCCCUCCCUAACCUGCUCUGUGCCGCUUCUGCUGACGUAAUGUGUUCAAAACCAGCCAAUGACCUUUGGACUUGUGUACCUGUAAGGAGAAGGACUUUACCUGUCUGCUCACUCACUUUUCCUGAAACUCGCCACCUAAGCCUUAGUCGCUUACACCUCCAAGUAAGGGUGUUAGACUUGAUCUGAGGCUUUUACUGCAAAACUCAUGCCCACUUUCGUCUCAAAGUCUGAAUGUUAAGAGUUGAAUGCCUUUCAAUAAAUCUUUAACCCUGUAAAGCCUGAAUCAUGAAAGACUUGAUAGAAAAGUCAGCUUUUUUAACUUAUUUAACCUUCUGACAACAUCCGAAAAAGAAAUUAAAUAUCAAUUUGUAUACCAGUUUAAUUUUUUUUUAAUCACUUUUUCUACAUUGUGGCAUUUUUUGGUGCAACUGAUUGCUGACAGUAGGAUCUACGAAUGGCAGAAGCCCACGUUAUAAACGUCAGUAAUGAGGAAUAAUAAAUCAGACUACAAAACAACAAACUAAAAUAAAGAACAUUUAAUACCAAUAGAAUUUACUUCGUUUCAAGGUAAAACUGUCGCAGUCUAGCCAUUUUGCACACGUGCGCACAAACACGAAUGCUACUAGCCUAGCAUACUGUAGCUGUUUGCUUAGCGGCUAGUGGACUCUCCGUCCCGCUAACAAAGUCAGAUGUUUGAAUUUUCUAACUUACCAAUGAGCAGGGUGACAUUCUGAAAAACACCCAAUGCCGCAGAGUCGCUUCCAACCACAACAACUGUGCUUCAUCUUGUUGAAUCUGAGCCAUAAAGAAUUAAAUCAGCUCUGAAGGAAAAGGGGGUCAAACCUGGUACUAGCAAGAUGUACAAACCACAAAAUCUGAAAUCUAGUACACAACAUUCACCAUGGUAGUAAAAAACUGUAUUUUCCAGAACUUGUGAGAAAAGUAACAAACAGGUUGGUCUGGUUGCCAUAAUUAGUGUAUCACAGUGGAAUGAAUGUUGAACAAAAUGUGUAUGGGUGAUGUCCUCAACUUGGAAGAUCUCAAAGGCACUCCAAGAGGCAUUUAACCAAUUUUUCAUGAAGGACCAGAGGGUGUUAACAGAAGGUCCAAACAACAUCUUCUAGGUAUGCGAAACACUAAAACACUUUUAAAGUCAAAGACUGUAUGUUGAUUGCUCGUGUGAUGGCACACUAUGACAAAAUGAAACACAACAACUUUCCUUAUGUAUAAAUCUUUUAUUGGAUAUUUGGACUUCCUAGAUCUGGAUUUUUCUGCCCACUUCUCCACUUCCUAAGAAGAGUCACCGAUUUGGGCUUCAGUCCAGUCCAGACCAGUUGUAGUUACUGGUAGUGCUGUUACUGUCCAUUUCAAUGGUUUUACACUUGGUCCAGUUCUUCCAAACCAACUGUAUCCAACAACAAUGGUACAAGGACAAACAAUGGCAGCGCUGAUGUACAAAGAAAAGGCUGUUGGUAAAAGCAUCAGUACCAGUGGGUGGUUUUCUUUAACAUCUAGAAACUCUCAAAACUGUUCACGUGUUCCUCGUAAAACAUAAAUUUUUCAAAUACAAUUUAGUUGUACAUCAUUUAAAACACAAAACACUAAACCUCAAAUAACAGACGAAUAAAUCGACUUCAUAUCCAUGUGCAUUCCAACAUUUUCUGCACCUUUACCCUGAAAACCACUUCAUUAAACCAUAAACAUCACACAUGCACAUCAAACUUCUGCACAGACCACAAGAACUGCAUGGCCCGAAGAACUGCAGUUUACUGCGGGUGACAUUUAACUCAGGUUGAAUGAAUAUAUGUUAACAUAUGUAGUCUUCAUAUAUGGAGCUAAAUGUUGGGUGAACCAACCUUUGCCCCUGCACAUUUGUGGCAGAGGAAAGUUAAAACAGGUGUUGAUAAAGAAAAAUUCAACAGUAUAUUUUUCUCUUCUGCUUUUCCUUUUAAAAAUUGCCAGAUCUUUAGGAGUUGAAGAGCAAUAUAGUUCCCAUAGUAUGAUGAUUUGUGGCUCAGUCACACUGGAGGACAGAAAAUUGAACUGCAACCUUGGAACUAGGAAAAAAAGUGGUGGUUGGGUGAUGAUUGAAUUUAUUUUAUUUAUUUUUUUGCUGUCAGAGACGCUCCUCCAAGCAGCCAUUUCAAAAGCAACGAGAUUGCAAGUUCAUUGCACACAGUUUAAAUAAUUUUGGUGGCACUGCGGUCUCUGACCACUCUAGAGUGACCGUAGCAUUAAAUUUGUGCUGUGUGCAAACUUUAAAAACUCCUAUUUAUUAGAGCUUUUGUUCCCCCCACCCCCCACUGUGAUCUUCCGGUUAGUAAACCCGCUAUAAACAUGAACAUGCUUCUAGACACCUUUUAUUUUUGGCUUUUACCUCCAAAGUUUACUUUCUCUUCCAGUCUUUAAGGCACUCACUGGUGGCAAAAAGAAGGCAGAAACAAGCAAGAGUUGGUGAAAGAUAGGAGACAGUGAAUCCCGAUUAUAAUGAGGUCUUCUCAUAUAAAUGAAAAUUGAGCACAGGGUUAGUUCAGAAAAGCUACAAAGCCAAGCCAACUCUGCUGCACAUCCAGUUGACUCGUCUUCUAUACGCCAGUUUUUUAAGCUGCUGUAGUUGGAUAAAAGUUGCUGCUGCUGCCUCUGAAAGCCACUUUGCAACCCACCUCCAUUUCAACACUCCUCUUUGUGAUGUGCCAGAAUUAAUAUCUGUUGUCACUGAUGACUACUGUGUUAUGUGACGGGGGCAUGGAGGUCCCAGAAUGGGCAGGAGGCAGAAAUUACUUUCUUUCACUGUGGUGACUGAAAUGUAUUUGUAAAAUCAGACUGAGCUCUGACCUCAGUAACACAAUGGGAAACAGAGCUCAAACAUUUCUAGCUAAAGUGGCAGCCUGCUUUUAAAAGCCGGUCAAGUUUUGGUUCGUGUGGUCCGAUUCUUAACAUCUGAACCGAAAAGAAACCUUUAAAAGAUUAGAAGUUCCCCAUUUUACACAAAACUGCAAUAACAGUCCAAGAAAAUUCCACACACAGCACUUUCUUGAGCGUUUUUGGCACCAAAGUGGUUCAAAGAAAUCAGAGUGAAAACAAGCUAAGAUGUAUUUCUAUCUGGAGGUCAUCUGGUGCCAGAUUCUUAUCAGAGCUUUGCAGUGUUUCCAUCAAGUACCAGAGACACUGCACUGGUUGUAUUGCUCCACAGAUUAAAGUUGCAGUUUGUGAGGCUUGAAACACAAGAAACAAACAUCUCCUGAAAGACGACCACACAACUUACAAACUGCACAUUAAAUCUUUGAUAAUAAGUCGAGCUUUCAUCUCAAGAUCAUCGUCUGGGUUCAGGAAGAAAAGAAGAAUGCAGAUGGAUCAUGAUUUUGUGUUGGCAAUGAAUAAUGCGCAGCAAAAGAAAAGAUAAAUGAGUUCAUUUAAACUUCUGUGGUGUAACAGCACUUUUUUGAUGUACGCAUCGCUUACUAACAGUGAAUGGGAAUAUGUAGCUUUUGUUCCUCUUAUUUCACAGCUGACACGUUUCCUCACUGCGCUGCAAACUAUUUUUGAAAAUACUGAAUCUUUUAGGGAGUUGUUAGCAUGUAUAUUCCUGCAAUACUGGGAUUGUACAACUUUGCAGAAUCAAAGUAGAACUGAACAUCUAGGCCAGAGAAUAUGGAAGAUUUAAAAUGCUUAAAUAAGAAACAGUCCAAAGUGUUUUGUUUUUGCUUUGAACAUAAAUGACUGAAGGUGCUUUGGGCUGCUCCAUCACUUCCCAAGCGCUCACCACAGUGGAUGGAUCCAUGUUUGAGCUGGCACAGAUUUUAAUAUCUGAUCACAUUUUUAUUUUAGCAUUAAAUUAAAUGUUUUUGUUAUUGCUAAUUAUUUUUGAAGACUUUAGAUGCAAAAGCCUCUAAACACCAGAAUGCUAUGAAGCUACUAUUGUGUAGUUGUCCUUUCAAACCCACACUGAACACAGUGUGUUGGUAAAAAUCUUCACCCCACUUUGGCAGAAAAAGCCAACAUGUCCACAGCACCACCAAUGAGAAGAUGCAAAUCAGGUCAUGUGACUUUCCAACAGGACAUUUCUUAGUUUGUUCAGGCCAACUUCACGCACCUUUACAUGCAUGUCUCAAAUUACUUGACAUGUGGGAUGUAGUAGUUUGCCCAACAGGUCUAUGUGUUUUGUGGACUUUGAGACGGCAUUCGACAGCACUCCUGGGAGUGUCCUGUAGGGUCAUGAGGGUUCAAUCCAUGUAAAACUGAAAAAGUUGUUAAUUUUGGUUAAUUUUUUAUACAUCAUUAUUUCUCAGGUUCUCAGUCCUCUUUUAUAUGUUAGUCCAACUCCCAUGGUAGUCUUCUUUCAGACUACCAUGUGACUGAAGACACAUUUUUAUGGACUGGCUUUUAGCACAUGUUGACAUUUUUUGUUUUACCAGCCUUAGUUGUUUUAGUUAUUUUUACUCUUACUGUGUGUGGUGGGGCAUGGUCUGCGGCGCAGCUGCGGGGGAGGCGGACGCACCUGAGCGGCAUCCGCAAUCACGCCUCGCCAGCUUAAAACAGAUUAACGGCCUGCUGUUGUUGCUGGAGUGUGUUCGACUGGCGAUUGAAAAGAUACAGCAACCAGCAAUAAAGUAUGCUGAAAGGUGUUGAGAUGUGGUCACGUCUGUCGUGCAUCAUUUGCAUUGUGUUAUUCUUUCUCUUUUAUAUGUUAUUCCAUCAUUGUUGUGCAUUUUACUUAUUUUAGUUGCAUUUUAGAUUGUAAAAUGUGCUAUAUAAAUAAACUUGACCUUGAUUUAGAUUGUUGCAUAUCACUUUCCUUAUCUUAAAUUACAUGUUAAUCAUUUUUUCCAGCUUCAUCUUUAAUGAUUAUUUUAACUGUUUCCUAUUUUUUGUCCCAAGACGUGAAAAAAACGGCACAGCUGAUCCAACUUUCAUAUUUACGAAUAAGCCAUUGCAUUGCACUGAUAAAACAUUUAAAGCAAAACAUAUCAGGCAGAGGUUUGUGGACCUGAAGUUUUCAAGUUUAGUUUAUAUGUUUAAGAGAUAACUGAUAGUGCUUACAUUUAUUAAAGAUGUAUGUUUUUUAAAAAGUGUUUCUUGGGUUUGUAUGCUUUUUAAAUCUUCCAUACAAUAAGGAGGAAGGUGACAGACUGUUCAGAAGCACUUAGAUUUUUAAAGUCCAUGUGCUGCCGGGUCUCAUUGAACUGACUCCAUGCGUAUUUCUUUACUCAUCCUUUAACUCUGAUAACAAUAUUGAUGCAUAAUCCAAAAAAUAGAAGCCAUAACAAGCAGAUUUAUUUCAUUUUAACACUUUACCACCUUAAAUUUGAAGCCUUUUUCGUGUGAUACCCUGUCUUCAGAAAACAUGAAAGUAAGCAGACCUUCUCUUGCAUGUGGACUUGAACAGAAAAAUGGAAAACAAAAGCAGCGUUAUUUUUGCGAGGGGUACGGCAAAAGAAGCGAAACUGUACAGACUAUAAAAGCGAAAAUCACGCACAAACAUAAACAUUUUGGAUGUUCACAUGAUUAGGCUGUUGUGA